AGCGAACGCUGGCGGCAGGCCUAACACAUGCAAGUCGAACGAACCUUUCGGGGUUAGUGGCGGACGGGGGAGUAACACGUGGGAACGUGCCUUUAGGUUCGGAAUAACUCAGGGAAACUUGUGCUAAUACCGAAUGUGCCCUUCGGGGGAAAGAUUUAUCGCCUUUAGAGCGGCCCGCGUCUGAUUAGCUAGUUGGUUGAGGUAAUGGCUCACCAAGGCGACGAUCAGUAGCUGGUCUGAGAGGAUGAUCAGCCACAUUGGGACUGAGACACGGCCCAAACUCCUACGGGAGGCAGCAGUGGGGAAUCUUGCGCAAUGGGCGAAAGGCUGACGCAGCCAUGCCGCGUGAAUGAUGAAAGUCUUAGGAUUGUAAAAUUCUUUCACCGGGGACGAUAAUGACGGUACCCGGAGAAGAAGCCCCGGCUAACUUCGUG
RNAcentral lists this ribosomal RNA (434 nucleotides) under uncultured bacterium. RNAcentral's name for it is "partial 16S ribosomal RNA". It matches the Rfam family "Bacterial small subunit ribosomal RNA", at positions 29 to 507 of the family's 1533-position model. The record is from RNAcentral.